UUAGUGUUCUUUUGUUAUUAAACCCUGUUUAUUUCACCAUCUUGCAUUUGGGUCUGGUUUGUCCCGUGUUCGUGACACUGUCCAUGCAGAUCAAUCCCCAGCAGAGUGCGCACCGGGCGACGAGAGUCCAACUAGGGCCUAGUGUUUAAGGUGUUAUAGUACUACAUGGAAGACUGUGAGUUCAAUUCCCCAGUCCACCAAGCUGCCACUGCUGGGCUCCUGAGCAGCCUUCAAUUGCCCAGCUGUAUAAAAAUGAGACAAAAACCAUGGAGUUUCCAAUUGGGAGGUGACGGUAAUCAUCCUCGCACAGACAGUGUAAUUUGCUGUGCACUUGGAGCCACAGUGAUGAAGAAGGAGAAAGAGGGUCUCUUUGAAACUCUGUGCUGAGUCUAGGAACACCUGGAUCCUUUUCGCAACUACAAAGCAGAAAGACUGAAAAAGAAGCCCUGGUACUGAUUAACCAGCCACCCCUCCUUCCCUCUGCCACCGAAGGCGAAUGCACAAGAGCAAAAGGCACAUACACACACGCACGCACACACACACACACACACACACACACACACACACACACACACACACACACACACACACACACACACACACACACACACACACACUCAUGCAAGCACAUGAAUUAUCUCCACUAGAUCAGUAGAGAUGUCUGCUCCCUUUGAGGGCCACCAUAUGGAUUGAUUUUACAUUAAAACAAGACUGGUGAAUAUUAAACACGCUUACUGUAACUGAACUGCUCUCUCUCUCUCUCUCU
Long non-coding RNA from Tachysurus fulvidraco (yellow catfish), 766 nucleotides. RefSeq lists it as uncharacterized. The transcript is spliced from 3 exons. The record is from RefSeq and is a predicted model, not a curated record. NCBI's taxonomy places the organism in Eukaryota, Metazoa, Chordata, Actinopteri, Siluriformes, Bagridae.